UUCCUAUUGCCUAUAAAUUGCAGAGGAACGCGCUCUAUUGGCGUCUUAGAGCUUUGUGGAGAAACUCUGGUUCAUUCUAGAGGAAUUGCUGAACAAAGUGAGGCAAGCAGAUCCUGAAAGCUUGACAGGAUGAGAGCUAAGUGGAAGAAGAAGCGUAUGAGGAGAUUAAAGAGGAAGCGCCGAAAGAUGAGGCAGAGAUCCAAGUAGGCGCUUGAAAUUUCAACAAGAUGGGGUUUUCUCCUGAUACCUUCAGCUUGCCCUGCUUGAAUGGUUGGAGGAUGUGGAAAACUUCAUUUGGUUGUCUUCUAGUUUUAGUAACUUAUUUUGAGACUUGUUCUAUUUAAUGUGUUGAGAUAAAUUUGACUUGAUAUUCUGGUGAAAUGGAUGAUGAGACUUGUUUUAAAGGUUAAUGCACUCUAGCCUAUGCUUAAUCUACUAUUCUAUUCUGCAUGUGACAAGUGAAUGUAAAUUGUCUAGAGAACAAACGUCCAUUCUGAUGGACCUUGCACUUCGGGCUCCAAGUAGCAGUACUAGGGUGCAGGUCUCAUGAGAUCUAUGCCUUCGAAGGCUUAUUCACCGACUCACAUCGGAGCCAACUACUCGAUCUACUUCUUGUUUUGUAGCAGUAGUAUUACUAGUGUGCAGGCCCCACGAGAUCUAUGCCUGUGAAGGCUUAUUCACCAACUCGCAUCAGAGCGGACUACUUAAUAUACUUCUUGUUCCUCCUCUCAUUUAAACCUGCCUCGUGCCAAGUGUUGUCAGGAUCUCUCUCUAGUUGUCUGCUUUAAAAAUUACAAUAGAAACUUAUAAUUUGGAAUCACGUGAUGCAAUAACAAUUAAGAAGUGAUGAAGUCUAAACAAAUCAAGAACAUAAAUUUCAGCUUCACUUUAUUCUAAAGAAUCUAUGCAAAGCUAUUAUCAACGCAAGAGGAGGGCAUUAAACAUGACAUUGAGCAUGAGAAGAUGAUGUUUCAUCUUAAAAAAAGGUUUGAAACUAUCACAUAGUAACACAGGACAAGACAAAUAUCAAUACCUUGUAGUGAGCCCACAGAUAGAAUCAGAUCAAUAUUAUCAACACGGCGCUGUAUAGAUUUUAGAAGAGAGUUCAAUGACGAAACUCUCUUUCUAACUCCUGAAAUCUUUGCAGCAUGCUGCAUAAUGAACGGCAAGGGCGCAUCUUCUAACAAUUGAUCAAGCUCUAAUACCAUUCAAAGAAAUUAAACAUUUCAACUUUACAACACAUACGUAUACAAGAAAUUUAUAAGAAAUAACGAACCCAGAAGAUAACUCAACGUCAUAAAUAGUAUAAUGACCUCUGGCAAGACGAUCUAUAGCGCAAUUAAGGUAGUCUUGACUUUUGAGAGUGUCCUGAGCUUUAGAAUCGAAGUCCCUGAUAAUACUGGCAAGCAUCGUAGAUAAACCCUUAGCGAACGCAUCGCUGCUCCUGUUGUUUUCAUUGUUGGCAUUGGGCUCACAUUGGUGUCCUUGAGGGAUGUUUUCACUGGGAUCAUUAUUUCCAUUAGACGAAACUGAAGGGGCAAUUUGAACAGAAACAGCAACGGUGUUAUCUUCGCUGGGAUUGCAGCGGUCUUUUGGGGUUUCCAUUUUCAGUGGAGAUAGCUGAGAAUCGAAGGAAGAUGAAGAAUUAGAUGUGGCUGGCUUCUAAAGAAUGGUCUAAACAACCCAUUAACAGUUUCAUUGGAUCUCAAUGAGGCCCAUCAUAUUUUCCUAUGUACUGAAAAACCGAAAGACAUACAAGGACGAAAAUAGCCCUCAAGUUUCGUGAGGCUAUGUCGGAUUAGGGUUUCCGGUUGCUUAUAAAUUUCAGAGAGAAGCUCCCCUGUGCUCUCCUCAAGCUUCGAUUGAAAACCCUGGUUAUCCCGGAGGAAUCUCUGUACGGAGUGACACAAGUAGAACCUGAGGGCUUUACAGGAUGAGAGCUAAGUGGAAGAAGAAGAGAAUGAGGAGAUUGAAGAGAAAGCGCCGAAAGAUGAGGCAGAGAUCUAAGUAGGCGCUUGGAUUUUGAACAAGAUGGGGUCUUCUCCUGAUACCUUCAGCUUGCCUUCAUUUUGAUUUAUCGUCUGGCUUUAGAUUUAGCUAUUGAUUUUGAGACUUCCAGUUAAAUUUUUUGAGUGGUGUUUCACUUGAUUACAGUAUACUUUCUAAGUGGAUGAUGAAAAUUUUUUUAAAUGUUUAUGCAGUAUAUCCUAAUGCUUAAUCUACUGUUCUAUUCUGGAUGA
This is a long non-coding RNA of Manihot esculenta (cassava), 2240 nucleotides long. RefSeq lists it as uncharacterized. The record is from RefSeq and is a predicted model, not a curated record. Lineage: Eukaryota; Viridiplantae; Streptophyta; Magnoliopsida; Malpighiales; Euphorbiaceae. The transcript has 3 exons.